CUGGUGCCGUUUAUCUCCAUCAGCUUCUCACGCGCAGGCUUCUUCCCCAGCCGCCCCUCCUCUCUCUAUCUUCAGCGCGCCUCUCUCUCCCUCCAUCUCUCCUCCCACGGCGCCCGGCCCCUGCUCAGCUCUCACGGCGCUCCUCCCUGCUCUCAUCUCCUGCAGCACCCAGGCAUCUCUGUCCAUCGCUCGGAGCUAUGCUGCAGCACGUCGAAGCAGCGCCCAGCGCCGUCUUGGACCUGCCAUGUCGCGUCGCUCCCAACUCCCUACCUGGCCGCGCCCUCCCAGCCAUGAAGCUCGCCCGUUAAUCGCAACCUCACCUUGGCUUCCUGUUGCAGCUCGCCAGCACCUCAGCCGUCGUAGGUUCUCUCCCAUGGCGCCUAGUCUUCUCCCCAUGGCGAACUCACCCAGCCACUCGCCUCCACUACAGCACGCCGUGCCUGCGCAGCCCCGACAGCAACGCCC
Molecule: unclassified non-coding RNA, 465 nt
Filed under: Zea mays
Lineage: Eukaryota; Viridiplantae; Streptophyta; Magnoliopsida; Poales; Poaceae
Description: misc RNA Zm00001eb176430
Source: RNAcentral